This 406-nucleotide ribosomal RNA is filed under the name uncultured bacterium. Its description in RNAcentral is "partial 16S ribosomal RNA". It matches the Rfam family "Bacterial small subunit ribosomal RNA", at positions 29 to 526 of the family's 1533-position model. The record is from RNAcentral.
AUUGAACGCUGGCGGCAGGCCUAACACAUGCAAGUCGAGCGAGCGGCGGACGGGUGAGUAAUGUCUGGGAAACUGCCAGCUGGGGGGGGCUAACUACUGGAAAAGGUAACUAAUACCGCAUACCGUCAGAUGGACCCAGAUGGGAUUAGCUGGUGGGUGGGGUAACGGCUAACCUAGGCGACGAUCCCUAGCUGGUCUGAGAGGAUGACCAGCCACACUGGGACUGAGACACGGUCCAGACUCCUACGGGAGGCAGCAGUGGGGAAUAUUGGACAAUGGGCGCAAGCCUGAUGCAGCCAUGCCGCGUGUGUGAAGAAGGCCUUCGGGUUGUAAAGCACUUUCAGCGGGGAGGCGUUACCCGCAGAAGAAGCACCGGCUAACUCCGUGCCAGCAGCCGCGGUAAUUC